GUGAAGCCCAGCUUGCUGGGUGGAUCAGUGGCGAACGGGUGAGUAACACGUGAGCAAUCUGCCCCUGACUCUGGGAUAAGCGCUGGAAACGGCGUCUAAUACUGGAUACGAGCUGCGAUCGCAUGGUCAGUAGCUGGAAAGAUUUUUUGGUCAGGGAUGAGCUCGCGGCCUAUCAGCUUGUUGGUGAGGUAAUGGCUCACCAAGGCGUCGACGGGUAGCCGGCCUGAGAGGGUGACCGGCCACACUGGGACUGAGACACGGCCCAGACUCCUACGGGAGGCAGCAGUGGGGAAUAUUGCACAAUGGGCGCAAGCCUGAUGCAGCAACGCCGCGUGAGGGAUGACGGCCUUCGGGUUGUAAACCUCUUUUAGCAGGGAAGAAGCGAAAGUGACGGUACCUGCAGAAAAAGCGCCGGCUAACUACGUGCCAGCAGCCGCGGUAAUACGUAGGGCGCAAGCGUUAUCCGGAAUUAUUGGGCGUAAAGAGCUCGUAGGCGGUUUGUCGCGUCUGCUGUGAAAUCCCGAGGCUCAACCUCGGGUCUGCAGUGGGUACGGGCAGACUAGAGUGCGGUAGGGGAGAUUGGAAUUCCUGGUGUAGCGGUGGAAUGCGCAGAUAUCAGGAGGAACACCGAUGGCGAAGGCAGAUCUCUGGGCCGUAACUGACGCUGAGGAGCGAAAGGGUGGGGAGCAAACAGGCUUAGAUACCCUGGUAGUCCACCCCGUAAACGUUGGGAACUAGUUGUGGGGUCCAUUCCACGGAUUCCGUGACGCAGCUAACGCAUUAAGUUCCCCGCCUGGGGAGUACGGCCGCAAGGCUAAAACUCAAAGGAAUUGACGGGGACCCGCACAAGCGGCGGAGCAUGCGGAUUAAUUCGAUGCAACGCGAAGAACCUUACCAAGGCUUGACAUACACCAGAACACCGUAGAAAUACGGGACUCUUUGGACACUGGUGAACAGGUGGUGCAUGGUUGUCGUCAGCUCGUGUCGUGAGAUGUUUGGGUUAAGUCCCGCAACGAGCGCAACC
This 1024-nucleotide ribosomal RNA is filed under the name marine bacterium AK16_038. RNAcentral's name for it is "bacterial SSU rRNA". It matches the Rfam family "Bacterial small subunit ribosomal RNA", at positions 68 to 1103 of the family's 1533-position model. The record is from RNAcentral.